CCUACGGGUGGCAGCAGUGGGGAAUAUUGGACAAUGGGCGAAAGCCUGAUCCAGCCAUGCCGCGUGUGUGAAGAAGGCCUUCGGGUUGUAAAGCACUUUCAGUGGGGAAGAAAGCCUUGGGGCUAAUACCCUCGAGGAAGGACAUCACCCACAGAAGAAGCACCGGCUAACUCCGUGCCAGCAGCCGCGGUAAUACGGAGGGUGCGAGCGUUAAUCGGAAUUACUGGGCGUAAAGCGCGCGUAGGCGGUCUGAUAAGCCGGUUGUGAAAGCCCCGGGCUCAACCUGGGAACGGCAUCCGGAACUGUCAGGCUAGAGUGCAGGAGAGGAAGGUAGAAUUCCCGGUGUAGCGGUGAAAUGCGUAGAGAUCGGGAGGAAUACCAGUGGCGAAGGCGGCCUUCUGGACUGACACUGACGCUGAGGUGCGAAAGCGUGGGUAGCAAACAGGAUGAGAUACCCCAGUAGUC
This 465-nucleotide ribosomal RNA is filed under the name Vreelandella stevensii. Its description in RNAcentral is "partial 16S ribosomal RNA". It matches the Rfam family "Bacterial small subunit ribosomal RNA", at positions 338 to 795 of the family's 1533-position model. Lineage: Bacteria; Pseudomonadati; Pseudomonadota; Gammaproteobacteria; Oceanospirillales; Halomonadaceae. The record is from RNAcentral.